UACGAAGGACCCGAGCGUUAUCCGGAUUUAUUGGGUUUAAAGGGUGCGUAGGCGGCUUAGUAAGUCAGUGGUGAAAGCCCAUCGCUUAACGGUGGAACUGCCAUUGAUACUGCUAGUCUUGAGUAUGGUUGAGGGGGGUGGAAUUCCGCGUGUAGCAGUGAAAUGCGUAGAGAUGCGGAGGAACACCGAUGGCGAAGGCAGCCCCCUGGGCUGACACUGACGCUCAGGCACGAAAGCGUGGGGAGCAAACAGG
This 253-nucleotide ribosomal RNA is filed under the name uncultured bacterium. RNAcentral describes it as "partial 16S ribosomal RNA". It matches the Rfam family "Bacterial small subunit ribosomal RNA", at positions 524 to 776 of the family's 1533-position model. The record is from RNAcentral.